Molecule: long non-coding RNA, 1346 nt
Organism: Vidua chalybeata
Lineage: Eukaryota; Metazoa; Chordata; Aves; Passeriformes; Viduidae
Exons: 3
Source: RefSeq, a predicted model, not a curated record
AUGUGGUGGAGGCUCAGCUGGACAAGGGCCGGGGUAGAAAUGCCAGAUCCUGGGCCAGAGGGUGUCCAGCCCAGGCAGGACACAGUGCCACCCAACUCCCUCACCCCCUUUCCUGUUCUCAGACUUGGCAGAAGAAUUGGAGCUAGAACUAUUAAAUGGAAAAGCAAUGGAAAGGCACGCAGUGUCCGAAGCAGAGAGAAAGCUAUAAAAGAGCACCAAUGAAAAGCACACCAGAAACUUAGAAAAAAAUCCCAAAACCUGCCAAACUCACAGAAAGGUUGGCUAGAAGAUUUCCACACAGAAAUGUAGCUGAGACACCAUUGCUGUUACUAAAUGCAAUAUAAGCUACAGAAGACCCUUGUAUGUUCACCUACCUUCUAAGACUCUGUGAUUCUGGUGAGAUCUCUGCUUGACAUAAUUUCAUUUGCAACACCUCUCAUUCUACAUGCACUGUGUGACAUUCUUAUCAACAAAUAUCAUUGCCUGUUAGCCAGGCAAUGGUGACUCACUCAUGUUGGAAGGAGCAUAAAAUUCACACUGAAAGGAUGAUGCUCCGGACUAACCCUUUCUGGGCCAGAUCUCAAAGAGAUUACAAUAUAUCCAAAAAGGUAAUUGAUUCAGGGCAUGCACAGAGUGUUUAAUAUGAUUUCCCAUCCCUUGUCAGUUCCAAAACCUGUAUCUCUAGAAAACACUGACACACCCUGUAUCUACUUAAGCUUUCCUGCAGACCAACACUCUGGAAACAGCCUCUCUGCUAACCAAGUCAUUCCUCACUUCCACACAACCCCCAGGAAUCCACAUCGUGCUCUGCCCUUUCUGAGUUUCCUUACAAAUGUCCAGGCUGACAAGAAAGAAAAAGAACUUUGAAUGGAAUUUGUUAACCACUGGAAUUUUAGCCCUUGAGGAAAUGUAAGACAGGUUUUUGUUUAGUUUUUCAAAUAGCACAGCCCUAAAUAACAUAUCUUUCUGAAUAUCAAAGCACCAUCUCUCUGUGCGUCUGACAUUUUGUCCAACCACUCGUAAUUUCAUCAGUGUUCAUCCCUUCCCUAUGUUAUACCUUUCUGACCCUUGUCAUGCUGCCUCCUUAGAAAUGAGCCAGCUUCAACUUCUCUUGAUCUUUGACCCUUGGAACAUGUCUUGCAACACAUUUUUGUCUUUUACAUUGCUGGGCAAAAAAUUGGAAGUCAGGCAUUAACUGGUUAAUGACAGUUCAUUCAAAAUUUUCCAGAGCUGGUCCCACAGACUUGCUGUGCAUUUUGGCAGGGCUUUUUGUUCCAACAUUGAACACAGCCUCUACAAGAUUAGGAUGCGUCCUCCUCAGUUACAGCUGGCAGAAGUCUACUUGU